UUGUACUAGUCUGGCAACCCCGUAUUCGCUGGUGGCGCGAGCAAUAUAAAUAAGUUAAAUGUGGGAAAAAUAUACAAAGUGCGUAAUCGUGGAUAAAUGUACAAACGGAGACUCCUGGACUUCUGUGUGUGUCUGGCGUAAACAGCGGCAAGCCUGUAGCAGAUGAACAGCUGCUGGACUGUCUGGUUGCAACGAGGAGGAUGUCUGGACCCAAGGCUUCCGACAAAGGGACGUGGCACUUGACGCUCACAAGGGCAUAUGCGUCAAGAUGCCUUCAGGGACGGACUCACCGCGCUCCCGAUGUCUGGUGUGCACACUCUGUGUCUCUGUGUGUGCCUGCCUGCGUCGACUCAAAGUGUGUGUUGCUGCGCUGUGUGUGGCUGCGCUUGCGUGUUGUGCUUGUAGCUUGUUGUUCGUGUAAAUUACGGCUGUGGCUGCUGCGGCUGAAGUGUAUUGCGUGUCGAUGUUUGUCACCAUUCGUUUCUACUUUUAUAUUUUUUUAUUUGUUCAAAAUUC
This is a long non-coding RNA of Drosophila innubila, 516 nucleotides long. RefSeq lists it as uncharacterized. The record is from RefSeq and is a predicted model, not a curated record. The transcript has 2 exons. NCBI's taxonomy places the organism in Eukaryota, Metazoa, Arthropoda, Insecta, Diptera, Drosophilidae.